AUUGAACGCUGGCGGCAGGCUUAACACAUGCAAGUCGAGCGGGGUGAUGGUGCUUGCACUAUCACUUAGCGGCGGACGGGUGAGUAAUGCUUAGGAAUCUGCCUAUUAGUGGGGGACAACAUCUCGAAAGGGAUGCUAAUACCGCAUACGUCCUACGGGAGAAAGCAGGGGAUCACUUGUGACCUUGCGCUAAUAGAUGAGCCUAAGUCAGAUUAGCUAGUUGGUGGGGUAAAGGCCUACCAAGGCGACGAUCUGUAGCGGGUCUGAGAGGAUGAUCGGCCACACUGGGACGGAGACACGGCCCAGACUCCUACGGGAGGCAGCAGUGGGGAAUAUUGGACAAUGGGGGGAACCCUGAUCCAGCCAUGCCGCGUGUGUGAAGAAGGCCCUAUGGUUGUAAAGCACUUUAAGCGAGGAGGAGGCUCUUUUGGUUAAUACCCAAGAUGAGUGGACGUUACUCGCAGAAUAAGCACCGGCUAACUCUGUGCCAGCCGCCGCCGUAA
RNAcentral lists this ribosomal RNA (503 nucleotides) under uncultured bacterium. RNAcentral's name for it is "partial 16S ribosomal RNA". It matches the Rfam family "Bacterial small subunit ribosomal RNA", at positions 30 to 523 of the family's 1533-position model. The record is from RNAcentral.